This 433-nucleotide ribosomal RNA is filed under the name uncultured bacterium. RNAcentral's name for it is "partial 16S ribosomal RNA". It matches the Rfam family "Bacterial small subunit ribosomal RNA", at positions 29 to 507 of the family's 1533-position model. The record is from RNAcentral.
AACGAACGCUGGCGGCAUGCCUAACACAUGCAAGUCGAACGAUGCCUUCGGGCAUAGUGGCGCACGGGUGCGUAACGCGUGGGAAUCUGCCUUUCGGUUCGGAAUAACUCAGGGAAACUUGAGCUAAUACCGGAUAACGUCGCAAGACCAAAGAUUUAUCACCGAAAGAUGAGCCCGCGUAGGAUUAGCUAGUUGGUGAGGUAAAGGCUCACCAAGGCGACGAUCCUUAGCUGGUCUGAGAGGAUGAUCAGCCACACUGGGACUGAGACACGGCCCAGACUCCUACGGGAGGCAGCAGUGGGGAAUAUUGGACAAUGGGCGAAAGCCUGAUCCAGCAAUGCCGCGUGAGUGAUGAAGGCCUUAGGGUUGUAAAGCUCUUUUACCCGGGAAGAUAAUGACGGUACCGGGAGAAUAAGCCCCGGCUAACUACGUG